This 502-nucleotide ribosomal RNA is filed under the name uncultured bacterium. RNAcentral's name for it is "bacterial SSU rRNA". It matches the Rfam family "Bacterial small subunit ribosomal RNA", at positions 29 to 524 of the family's 1533-position model. The record is from RNAcentral.
AUUGAACGCUGGCGGAAUGCUUUACACAUGCAAGUCGAACGGCAGCACGGGGGCAACCCUGGUGGCGAGUGGCGAACGGGUGAGUAAUACAUCGGAACGUGCCCAGUCGUGGGGGAUAACGUAGCGAAAGCUACGCUAAUACCGCAUACGAUCUCUGGAUGAAAGCGGGGGGACCGCAAGGCCUCGCGCGAUUGGAGCGGCCGAUGGCAGAUUAGGUAGUUGGUGGGGUAAAGGCUCACCAAGCCGACGAUCUGUAGCUGGUCUGAGAGGACGACCAGCCACACUGGGACUGAGACACGGCCCAGACUCCUACGGGAGGCAGCAGUGGGGAAUUUUGGACAAUGGGCGAAAGCCUGAUCCAGCCAUUCCGCGUGCAGGAUGAAGGCCCUCGGGUUGUAAACUGCUUUUGUACGGAACGAAACGGUCCUGGUUAAUACCUGGGGCUAAUGACGGUACCGUAAGAAUAAGCACCGGCUAACUACGUGCCAGCAGCCGCGGUAAU